RNAcentral lists this transfer RNA (74 nucleotides) under Algoriphagus jejuensis. Its description in RNAcentral is "tRNA-Met". It matches the Rfam family "tRNA". From Rfam's summary of the family: Transfer RNA (tRNA) molecules are approximately 80 nucleotides in length. Their secondary structure includes four short double-helical elements and three loops (D, anti-codon, and T loops). Further hydrogen bonds mediate the characteristic L-shaped molecular structure. tRNAs have two regions of fundamental functional importance: the anti-codon, which is responsible for specific mRNA codon recognition, and the 3' end, to which the tRNAs corresponding amino acid is attached (by aminoacyl-tRNA synthetases). tRNAs cope with the degeneracy of the genetic code in two manners: having more than one tRNA (with a specific anti-codon) for a particular amino acid; and 'wobble' base-pairing, i.e. permitting non-standard base-pairing at the 3rd anti-codon position. RNAcentral also lists the same sequence under 9 other names. Lineage: Bacteria; Pseudomonadati; Bacteroidota; Cytophagia; Cytophagales; Cyclobacteriaceae. The record is from RNAcentral.
CGCGGGAUGGAGCAGUUGGUAGCUCGUCGGGCUCAUAACCCGAAGGUCACAGGUUCGAGUCCUGUUCCCGCUAC